CUAACACAUGCAAGUCGAACGCGAAAGUCACUUCGGUGGCGAGUAGAGUGGCGGACGGGUGAGUAACGCGUAGGAAUCUGCCCUGUAGUGGGGGAUAACCCGGGGAAACUCGGGCUAAUACCGCAUACGCCCCACGGGGGAAAGCGGGGGAUCCUUCGGGACCUCGCGCUAUAGGAAGAGCCUGCGUCGGAUUAGCUAGUUGGUAGGGUAAAGGCCUACCAAGGCGACGAUCCGUAGCUGGUCUGAGAGGAUGAUCAGCCACACCGGAACUGAGACACGGUCCGGACUCCUACGGGAGGCAGCAGUGGGGAAUAUUGCGCAAUGGGCGAAAGCCUGACGCAGCCAUGCCGCGUGUGUGAAGAAGGCCUUCGGGUUGUAAAGCACUUUCAGUGGGGAGGAAAGAGCCCAGGCUAAUACCCUGGGUCGUUGACGCUACCCACAGAAGAAGCACCGGCUAAUUCCGUGCCAGCAGCCGCGGUAAUACGGAAGGUGCGAGCGUUAAUCGGAAUUACUGGGCGUAAAGCGCGCGUAGGCGGCUUGGUAAGUCGGAUGUGAAAGCCCCGGGCUCAACCUGGGAACGGCAUUCGAUACUGCUGAGCUGGAGUACGAGAGAGGGGGGUGGAAUUCCAGGUGCAGCGGUGAAAUGCGUAGAGAUCUGGAGGAACACCAGUGGCGAAGGCGGCCCCCUGGCUCGAUACUGGCGCUGAGGUGCAAAAGCGUGGGGAGCAAACAGGAUAAGAUACCCUGGUAGUCACGCUGUAAACGAUGUCUGCUAGCCGUUGGGAUCCUUGAGGUCUCGGUGGC
This 804-nucleotide ribosomal RNA is filed under the name uncultured bacterium. Its description in RNAcentral is "bacterial SSU rRNA". It matches the Rfam family "Bacterial small subunit ribosomal RNA", at positions 48 to 847 of the family's 1533-position model. The record is from RNAcentral.